UACGGAGGGUGCAAGCGUUAUCCGGAUUCACUGGGUUUAAAGGGUGCGUAGGCGGGUAAGUAAGUCACUUGUGAAAUCUCCGGGCUUAACUCGGAACGGUCAAGUGAUACUGUCGGACUAGAGUACAGAAGGGGCAACUGGAAUUCUCGGUGUAGCGGUGAAAUGCGUAGAUAUCGAGAGGAACACCUGCGGCGAAGGCGGGUUGCUGGGCUGAUACUGACGCUGAGGCGCGAAAGCCAGGGGAGCGAACGGG
This 253-nucleotide ribosomal RNA is filed under the name uncultured bacterium. RNAcentral describes it as "partial 16S ribosomal RNA". It matches the Rfam family "Bacterial small subunit ribosomal RNA", at positions 524 to 776 of the family's 1533-position model. The record is from RNAcentral.